This is a long non-coding RNA of Panicum virgatum (switchgrass), 1009 nucleotides long. RefSeq lists it as uncharacterized. Lineage: Eukaryota; Viridiplantae; Streptophyta; Magnoliopsida; Poales; Poaceae. The transcript is spliced from 4 exons. The record is from RefSeq and is a predicted model, not a curated record.
CUCCGUCAUGAGCCCGACUGCGCCUCCUCCCACCGCCUUUCCAUCCGACGUCGGCAAGCUGGUUGCGGCGGGCCCGCUUUUGCUGGCCUACAGCGGCGAAUCGGCCACCCGAUCUGGGCGUCGAUGAUGCCGCUGCCUCUGCUCCCCUCUUCCUGGUGCAGGGCGAAGACGCAAUGGUGGUGGCGAACGUGCGGUUUAUGGGACUCGCGGCUUCGCAGGGCGUGACGGAGCCUCUGCUCGCAUCCUCAUUCGACGUCGUGCUCUGGGGCAAGGGGCUCCCGGAGUCCGUGCUCGCCGCCGCUGGUAAGACAGUCCUCCAUGUCUAUCCCAGUCUGUUCUACGGCUCCCUCUAUUCCUCCAUCCUGCUCUCCUCCUUCCUGUCCUUCCUCUCCCUGACCCUUCUCCGUCUUCAUUGACCGCGGUGGCGGCGGCGGCGGCCGGCUCCUAUUCGUACACCGUCGUCGAUCUACACCGCCGCGGCGUGUACUCGGAUUUCGCGACCUUGCCGACCAGCCCUUAUGCUGCCCCCUUGGACUCUGAUCAGCAUCCCAUUCACGGAUAGGAAUUUGGAAGGGGAAAGAGAGAUAUAUGUCCAUUUAACUUCACAGUGCUCAGUGAAAUUAUUAUGGAGUGACUAAGACUACAAUACAAGCAAGCUCACCAAUGACCAAACUGCGAAGGCAUUCUAAUUAAUCUGAGCAAGAUCUCACUGUUGGAUCUGCGAAAAAAAAAACACAGUUUCUCCUCUAAUAAAGGGUGUGCCUGGACAAGUCAACAAGAAUAACCAAACAGCUUAAGGUAUUCUAAGAGAAAUCAAUGUACGGUUCGUUCUUCACUGGAUUCAUACAACUGCAUCGGCCCAUGCUUGAAGAUCUAACUUCAUUUGAUUGCUGCGCAUUUUCUCUGUUAGUACUCCACCUCUAUUAUGCUUCCUCAUAUACUCUUGUGUCUCUAUUGAUCUAAUGAAAGGCUGCAGAUUCAUGUAUUGGUUGAUUCGUCUUUCAUGGGA